This is a long non-coding RNA of Cyprinus carpio carpio, 477 nucleotides long. The record is from Ensembl. Lineage: Eukaryota; Metazoa; Chordata; Actinopteri; Cypriniformes; Cyprinidae.
AUAAAAGUUAUUGUAACUCAGGCAUAAAAUGUCCGAUCUUGCCCAAACUUCACAUGUUUGAUAAGAGUCCUGGCCUGAACACAUCUGAAGGCCAAUAUUCCAUUGGGUGUGGCAAAAUGCCUCGAUAGCGCCACCUAUACAUUUUCAACGGAGUGCGCCUCGAGCUACGUUUCACGUACAUGUAGAAAAAUUGGUACACACAUAUAACACACCAAUACCUACAAAAAAGUCUCUUGGUACGAAAUUCGAAUCCCAACAGGAAGUCAGUUAUUUUGAAUUUUCUCUGCAAAAUUUGUGUCGUUUUUGCCAUUUUCAGUGGUUGUACUUUAACGAACUCCUCCUAGAGAUUUAUUCAGAUCAACACCAAACUUUGUCAGUGUAAUCUAAAGGCCUUUGCAAUGUUAAAUUGCGAAGAUCUUGAGGUUUCGUUUAAGGGCGUGUCUGUGGCGGCCUUACAAAUUUUGAUGUUUCGCCAUG